CGAAAAGUCACAAUCAACAUUCAUUGCUGUCGGUGGGUUGUGUUGUUGAAGGAAAAACUCACUGAUCAAUGAAUGCAACUGUGAUUGGAAUGGA
MicroRNA precursor from Chrysemys picta bellii (western painted turtle), 94 nucleotides. The record is from Ensembl. Lineage: Eukaryota; Metazoa; Chordata; Testudines; Emydidae.